ACGAAGCCUUCGGGCUUAGUGGCGCACGGGUGCGUAACGCGUGGGAAUCUGCCCUUGGGUACGGAACAACAGUUAGAAAUGACUGCUAAUACCGUAUGAUGUCUUCGGACCAAAGAUUUAUCGCCCAGGGAUGAGCCCGCGUUGGAUUAGGUAGUUGGUGGGGUAAAGGCCUACCAAGCCGACGAUCCAUAGCUGGUCUGAGAGGAUGAUCAGCCACACUGGGACUGAGACACGGCCCAGACUCCUACGGGAGGCAGCAGUGGGGAAUAUUGGACAAUGGGCGAAAGCCUGAUCCAGCAAUGCCGCGUGAGUGAUGAAGGCCUUAGGGUUGUAAAGCUCUUUUACCCGGGAAGAUAAUGACUGUACCGGGAGAAUAAGCCCCGGCUAACUCCGUGCCAGCAGCCGCGGUAAUACGGAGGGGGCUAGCGUUGUUCGGAAUUACUGGGCGUAAAGCGCACGUAGGCGGCCGAUCAAGUCAGAGGUGAAAGCCCGGGGCUCAACCCCGGAAUUGCCUUUGAGACUGAACGGCUAGUAGGUGAGAGAGGUAAGUGGAAUUCCGAGUGUAGAGGUGAAAUUCGUAGAUAUUCGGAAGAACACCAGUGGCGAAGGCGGCUUACUGGCUCAUUCUAGACGCUGAGGUGCGAAAGCGUGGGGGAGCAAACAGGAUUAGAUACCCUGGUAGUCCACGCCG
This 691-nucleotide ribosomal RNA is filed under the name Sphingomonas sp. ehR17. Its description in RNAcentral is "bacterial SSU rRNA". It matches the Rfam family "Bacterial small subunit ribosomal RNA", at positions 66 to 802 of the family's 1533-position model. Lineage: Bacteria; Pseudomonadati; Pseudomonadota; Alphaproteobacteria; Sphingomonadales; Sphingomonadaceae. The record is from RNAcentral.